GACGAACCGUGCGACCGUUGUUCGGAUUCACUGGGCUUAAAGGGCGCGUAGGCGGAUGGUCAAGUCGGGGGUGAAAUCUUUCAGCUUAACUGGAAAAGUGCCUCCGAUACUGAUCGUCUCGAGGGAGGUAGGGGCAUGUGGAACUUCCGGUGGAGCGGUGAAAUGCGUAGAUAUCGGAAGGAACGCCGGUGGCGAAAGCGACGUGCUGGACCUCCUCUGACGCUGAGGCGCGAAAGCUAGGGGAGCAAACGGG
RNAcentral lists this ribosomal RNA (253 nucleotides) under uncultured bacterium. RNAcentral's name for it is "partial 16S ribosomal RNA". It matches the Rfam family "Bacterial small subunit ribosomal RNA", at positions 524 to 776 of the family's 1533-position model. The record is from RNAcentral.